Molecule: long non-coding RNA, 1198 nt
Filed under: Anas platyrhynchos platyrhynchos (common mallard)
Lineage: Eukaryota; Metazoa; Chordata; Aves; Anseriformes; Anatidae
Description: lncRNA (ENSAPLG00000023949.1)
Source: RNAcentral
UUUUCCACGGCUUUCUCUUAGGGAUGUAUGAAUUGCUUACAUUUGGCCCUUGCUUCUACAAGGGCCAAAUAACUGAGAAUUAUUUGUCAAAACAAAUCAUCAGAGCACAUUGACUUUAAAUGCUCAUCCCCAUUAAGAGAUAGGCUGGAAAGAGCUGUCUCUUGGGUACAUUUUUUAAACUAUUCUUUACAAAUAUAUUUGUGUAUUCAUGCCUAUCUUUAAAAUUAAUAUUUCUCUAGCUCUUUCUAAUAGAUUUUUUUUUUUUUUUAUUUUUUUUUUCAGUUAGACAGAUUACUGCCUCCUUGCAAAUACGUCAUGACUUUUUUUUUUUUUUCUUGUGUCCCAGAAAUGGGGAAGAUUAAUAGACAAUCUUUCAGCAACAUUUGUUUGUGUCAGGAAAAAAAAUACGCAUUCCUCCAUUCAUAGACAGCACAAGUAAACUGCCAUAGCCAGAGAACUCAGUCUGUUGAAUACACAGAAAUGAGUGCCAGGAUCUCAGUGAACAGCCAGAGGCACAAUUUAUUAUCUCGUUUUUUAUCUCAAUUUAUUAUCUCAUUUUAUUAUUAUCUCAUUUCUUGUAUGUUAGGUCAAACUUGGAAAAAGAAUGUUAAUUAAAAAAAAUAAAUCAAUCUUUGUACUUUGUCAGAGUUACAUAAAAUAUUUUCUUUCAUAAAUCAUUCUGUGAAAUCCAUGUCCAUAGGAAUAUAAAACCUGCAUACCAAUCGUAUGGCCAAAUAUAUUUUAGAAGAAAGGAAGCUCUUUAUAUUGAGACUGUGAAGUGUAUUUUAAGGAUGAGACCACAACUUUCUCCAUAAUUAACUUUGAAUGAUGAUAGUCUGCAGUGACCAGGUGGGUCUGAGCCAAGCUGGGAAGUCACACCAGCCAAGCUGGGGUACCUGGAGCAUAGGCCACAGAAGGACAAAAGAACAGGUCUGAACUUAAAUGCAGCUCAGGAGCGAAGGCAGGGGGAGGCUUCCCAAAGCUGUUUUCUCAGGAGCCUGAUGGAGGUUAUGCUGCUGUACUGCAUCAGAGCAUAGCUUGGCUGGCACCUAAAGCCCACCGGGGUGGGAAAGAAAGGCUGUGUGGAGGAGGGUGGUUUGAAGCUGCUUGUGUACUCAGCUCUAAGAUGGUGUUCCCUGUCUUUGGGGUGUUUUCAGGUGCUAUAAUUAAGUUGAACAGGUGCAAUUUUUCAAAGUAA